RNAcentral lists this unclassified non-coding RNA (326 nucleotides) under soil metagenome. RNAcentral describes it as "partial contains 5.8S ribosomal RNA, internal transcribed spacer 2, and large subunit ribosomal RNA". The stretch from base 1 to 120 matches the Rfam family "5.8S ribosomal RNA", at positions 35 to 154 of the family's 154-position model. The record is from RNAcentral.
GAUGAAGAACGCAGCGAAAUGCGAUAAGUAAUGUGAAUUGCAGAAUUCAGUGAAUCAUCGAAUCUUUGAACGCACAUUGCGCCCCUUGGUAUUCCGAGGGGCAUGCCUGUUCGAGCGUCAUUAUAACCCCUCAAGCUCAGCUUGGUGUUGGGGCCUGCCGCACGGGCAGCCCUUAAAAUCAGUGGCGGUGCCAUCUGGCUCUAAGCGUAGUAAUUCUUCUCGCUAUAGAGUCCCGGUGGAUGCUUGCCAUUAACCCCCAAUUUUCUAUGGUUGACCUCGGAUCAGGUAGGGAUACCCGCUGAACUUAAGCAUAUCAAAAGCGGAGA